RNAcentral lists this ribosomal RNA (426 nucleotides) under Teyl sp. MYG454. RNAcentral describes it as "partial 16S ribosomal RNA". It matches the Rfam family "Archaeal large subunit ribosomal RNA", at positions 1924 to 2666 of the family's 2987-position model. Lineage: Eukaryota; Metazoa; Arthropoda; Arachnida; Araneae; Anamidae. The record is from RNAcentral.
UGAAAGAAAAAAUUUUCAGUAACUCCUGCUCAAUGAAUUUUAAUAGCCGCAGUUACCUGUGCUAAGGUAGCAUAAUCACUUGCCUACUAAUUAUAGGAUAGAAUGAAAGGAUGCACACGUAAGCUCCUUUAUUAUUAUAAGCCUUUUAACUUAGCAAAUAAGUAAAAAUCCUUAUUUCUCUAGGGGGACAACAAGACCCUAUUAAACUUCACAUUUUUGUUCAGCUGGGGCGGCAAUAAAACUAUAACUUUUUCUCAUCUUUAUAACUCAACUUUUAUAAAAAAAUUACCAAGUUACUAUAGGGAUAACAGCAUAAUUUUCUCCUGAAGACCUUAUAAAAGAGAAAGUUUGUGACCUCGAUGUUGAAUUAAGGCCCUAUUAGAAGCAGUAUUCUAAAAAGGAAGUCUGUUCGACUUUUUAUUCUUU